UCUGUGGUUGUGGCGCUGAGCUCCGGCUCUGCAGAGCGCAAUUUCCCCACCCCCCCAAAGCUGUGGGGACCCCCCCAGAGGGGCGGGGUACAGCGAGUGCCAGUGGGUGCGAGAGCUGUGGGUGCCAACUGCCAGGUUCGAGGUUGAGGAGCCACAGCCUCAGGUGUGGGAGAAACUGCUGCUGAAACCCCACAGGUCCAAGGCUGCCAUGGCCCAGACACCGUGGGGACAGUGAGGGCUCCCAUGUCCCUGUGCUGGGGACACUGAGGCCUCCCGUGCUGGAAAGAGUCCGUGUGCCUUCCCUGUGGCACCUCCCUGUGCCUGGUAUAAGAUGAUCUUGCAGGGAAAACCAGGAAGGAGCCAAAGGCUUGGUGUUGGAUGGGGUGGAGGCCCAGGGAUGAGUUCUGCUUCAGCCUGGCCUCGCAUUCCCUCCUUUCCUGCAAUCCCAGCAAAAACAAAGGCAGAGGAGGCGGCUCUUGCGCCCUGCAGGAUGUGCUGGGGCGUGCAGAGCUCCCCCAGCGCUGUGCCUGGGAGCAGGAGGACGGUCCCAGGGGCUUUGUGAGGCUCAGGAGCAGGAACGCGGGCGGGGGGAAGGGGGGCUGCCUGGAGGGCUUUGUUCCCUGCCAGCCCCGGGUAGGGCACAGCAGCAGAGGAGGAGAUGUGGCACCACUGCCCUGUCCUCCCCUCCCCUGAGCACUCCCAUCCCCAGCCCACAGUGGCAGCACCAGAGGAGCUGCUCCGUGAUUUGGGAACCUCAUCAGAGCAGUGCCCGGGGUGGGGGCUGCCCUUGGCUCCCCAGAAGGUGCCAGGGCUGCUGAGCAGGUUUGGGCUCAGCUGCUGCACGGCCCUGGGCCAUGAGUGUAGGACUGGGAAAGGUGGGGAGCCCCAGAGAAGCCUGUGGUGCUGUGGAAGGAGCUGCCUGGGUGCAGGAUGUGCUGGAGGCAGGAGAGAGGCUCAUGUUGGUGUGGGAAUGGCACGGGGUGAGGGCAGGACUCCUCCUAUCACUGCUCCCCCACAGCAUUUCCAUGUGGCACUAUCCUUGCUGUGCUGCUGGACAGGCAGAACUUCCAGGAAAUCAGAUUUGCAUUCACAGGAUGUUCAGUCCUGCAACCUCUGCCCUUGGAAGCUUUAAAAAAUAGGUGAUAAAAGCAUCAGUCAUGUGGAGGGAUCGCUUGAAUCAGCUCCAGGUAAUCCCUGAGGUCCCUCCAGCCUCUGGUGACUCACCAUUUCCCAUGGCUGCACCUGUACACACAAACAGCUCCGCUCCAGAGCGGAUAUUUGCACUCCCUAAGGAAGUGCUGGCACUUUUGUCAAAUUGGGUCACUACAGCCACAGCCUGCUCACAGCCAAGUCCAGGUGAUCAAAAUUAGGGCUCAGCCAGGCAAAAUGCCCAUGGGUGCCCAGAUCUGGAACUCUCACAGGAAUGAACUCUGCGUCUCCUAUGUGGUGUUGCCUGUUUGGGACCUCUGGCCGGGUCCCUUCUGCUGCAAGAGGUGAAUCCUGGACUCUUUCAGUGCUUAAUUAACUUCCCUAAUGACUGGUGCAACCUGCCAGGUGAGCUGCCUGGCUGGCUGCUCCCAGCACUGCUUCCAGCCAGAGCCCAGCCUGUGGGACAUGCAUCGAUGUCCCUGAGCUCCUUGGGCUGGUGACACGGUGGCAGCCCCUGUGUGCAGCCUGAUCAUGGAAUAUCCACGAGGAUUGCCAAAUCCACAGCCGAUGCCUUGUGUGAUGCCCUGAGUCAGGAGUGAUCUGGAGCACUGAACCCUCCUGGCAGCAGCACACAGUGUCCAUUUGGCCCAGCUCUCACCUUGUGUCACUGGUGACUCUCACUGUCAAAGCAAAGGCAUCACCACACCCCAGGGAGACAGAAAUCACACUUUUGGGACACAACCAAGCAAGGCUGUGCUCGCCAUUCCCUUUCACAGGAGCUCCUCUGCUCCCUGCAGCCCUGGGACUCAAAUUCCCCUGAAGCAGCAAAGGUUCUGUGUGCUAUUUUCACAACACCCGACCUGCCUGGCUUUGUGUGGAGUCAAAUCCCAGUAAAUCCCAGUGUUUGUUUGUCCCUCAAGGUUUGCAGCAGGGUUGGUGUUGGCUGUCCAGCAUCUCAGGCUGGAAAAUGGCUCUGUGCAUCAAGGUCACUUUAUCCACCCUCAUCACAGACCAGAAAUGCUCACGUUAAUGGGUCUCUAAUUUAAUCAAAAUGCUGUGCCUGUGAUUGCAGGGAUGGACUCUUUUCCUCUCUUGAAGGGCAAAAAUCAAUUUGCAGUAACAGCAGACACGUCUGCUCCCUCCUCCAGGCCUAGGAAAGUGAGUAAAUUUUUUCAUGGUACGAAAAUAAUAAUAUUGACCUGGUGUGUCAUCAAUAUUGGGGUUUUUUUAUGUGCUUUUGAGCACUUUGGUGGCAGCAUUCUGUGGCCCUGUGAACUCAGAAAAACCACAGAUGUGGUGCCCCUGGGUUUCGUAAUUACUGUUUUACCCAUGUACAAACUGCCCUUUUCUUGCAGAUCCCAAAGGGAUCACAACAAAUCAGUGAGGAACAGCCUGAUUUCCAUGCCCUGGGAGGCAGGGAAUGGGUGAUCACUGCUCAACAGAGCAAUCACGGGCAGGUUUCUUUGCAUCUCCCUGUGGUUUGUUUUUCCUCAGUCUCAGUGCCUGGUUUAGAAAUCAGUCACCAGUCUGUACUCCAGUGAUUUUCUUCUGUGCAGCCUGGCU
This is a long non-coding RNA of Serinus canaria (Common canary), 2712 nucleotides long. RefSeq lists it as uncharacterized. Lineage: Eukaryota; Metazoa; Chordata; Aves; Passeriformes; Fringillidae. The record is from RefSeq and is a predicted model, not a curated record. The transcript has 3 exons.